CGAAUGGCGUAACGACUUCCCCACUGUCUCCAGCAUAGACUCAGUGAAAUUGAACUCUCCGUGAAGAUGCGGAGUUCCUGCGGUCAGACGGAAAGACCCCGUGAACCUUUACUAUAGCUUCACAGUGGACUUUGAUCUUAUUUGUGUAGGAUAGGUGGGAGGCUUUGAAGCGUUAUCGCUAGAUAGCGUGGAGCCAACCUUGAAAUACCACCCUGGCAACUUUGAGGUUCUAACUCAGGUCCGUUAUCCGGAUCGAGGACAGUGUAUGGUGGGUAGUUUGACUGGGGCGGUCUCCUCCUAAAGAGUAACGGAGGAACGCGAUGGUACCCUCAGUACGGUUGGAAAUCGUACGAUGCGUGUAAAGGCAUAAGGGUGCUUGACUGCGAGACAGACAUGUCGAGCAGGUACGAAAGUAGGUCUUAGUGAUCCGG
RNAcentral lists this ribosomal RNA (431 nucleotides) under Oxyrrhis marina. RNAcentral's name for it is "partial Bacterial large subunit ribosomal RNA". It matches the Rfam family "Bacterial large subunit ribosomal RNA", at positions 1993 to 2423 of the family's 2925-position model. The record is from RNAcentral. Lineage: Eukaryota; Dinophyceae; Oxyrrhinales; Oxyrrhinaceae.